GAUGAACGCUGGCGGCGUGCCUAACACAUGCAAGUCGAGCGAACAGACGAGGAGCUUGCUCCUCUGACGUUAGCGGCGGACGGGUGAGUAACACGUGGAUAACCUACCUAUAAGACUGGGAUAACUUCGGGACACCGGCGCUAAUACCGGAUAAUCUAUUGAACCGUGUGGUUCGAUGGUGAAAUUCGGUGUUGCUGUCACUUAUCGCUGGAUACCCGCCGCAUUGGCUAGUUGGUAAGGUAACGGCUUUCCAAGGCGACGAUGCGUAUCCGAGCUGAGAGGGUGAUCGGCCACACUGGAGCUGAGACACGGUCCAGACUCCUGCGGGAGGCAGCAGACGCGAAUGUGCCGCAAUGGUCGAAAGCCUGACGGAGCAGCGCCGCGUGAGAGAUGACGGUCUUCGGAUCGUAAUGCUCGGUUAUGAGGGAAAAACAAAUGUGUACGGAACCAUGCACGGCUUGACGGUACCUAGUCAGAAAGCCACGGCUAACUACGUG
Molecule: ribosomal RNA, 497 nt
Filed under: uncultured bacterium
Lineage: Bacteria
Description: partial 16S ribosomal RNA
Rfam family: Bacterial small subunit ribosomal RNA
Source: RNAcentral